This 779-nucleotide ribosomal RNA is filed under the name uncultured Neocallimastigales. RNAcentral describes it as "partial large subunit ribosomal RNA". It matches the Rfam family "Eukaryotic large subunit ribosomal RNA", at positions 20 to 645 of the family's 3401-position model. Lineage: Eukaryota; Fungi; Neocallimastigomycota; Neocallimastigomycetes; Neocallimastigales. The record is from RNAcentral.
UACUAGAGUAGCACUCGCAUAUCAAUAAGCGGAGGAAAAGAAACUAACAAGGAUUCCCCUAGUAACGGCGAGUGAAGCGGGAAGAGCUCAAAUUUGAAGAUCUUAAAGGGUUUCCCUUUACGAAUUGUAGUUUAAAGAAGUGUUUUUCUGUUGAGGUUUUGGUAAAAGUUCUUUGGAAUAGGACAUCAUAGAGGGUGAGAAUCCCGUAUUUGACCUUUACUUUCAACUUUGUGAUACACUUUCAAAGAGUCGGAUUGUUUGGGAAUGCAGUCCAAAAUGGGUGGUAAAUUUCAUCUAAAGCUAAAUAUUGGCGAGAGACCGAUAGCGAACAAGUACCGUGAGGGAAAGAUGAAAAGAACUUUGAAAAGAGAGUUAAACAGUACGUGAAAUUGUCAAAAGGGAAGCGUUUGACACCAGUGUUGUUUUUCUGAAAAUCAAUUAAAGAACUGUUUAUGCUAAGCUUGUUUAGACUUUAUCAGCUAAUCUGUUUAGUUUUGAGCUUUUCUUUAAUGCACUUUUCAGUUAACAAGUCAACAUCAAUUUCUUUUGCUGUAAAAAAGCUUGAGGAAGGUGGCUUGAGAUUCGUCUUAAGUGUUUAUAGCCUCUUGCCUAUGCAGUCGGAGAGAUUGAGGUCUGCAGCGUAGAUCCUUCGGGGCUAAAUGCAUUUGUGCUAAGUUAUAGCAUUUUAUAGACAACUUGUUGACUAUGAUUUGUCUUGUAGCUUACUCGCUUAUGUUAUUUUACCUACGCUUAGGGAUGUUGAUCUCUCACAGUCGAGC